UCCCACAUUUAUUAUGUGAAUAAACUCGAACAAGCUGUAACAACUCAUACAUGCAACCUAGGGUGCAAUUACAUAUAACAACACAUGACUCAAACACUUGCAGCGAUAACUUCUAAGCAUAGCAGUUGCACACAACAACCGAAUAUCGAUAGAAAACAUUUGAUCAACUAAGUUCUCAUCCUAACACUUUCAUAUAUUACAAAUGAUAAAUAAAACACAAAGUAAGCCAUAACCAUUCCUUAGAUCAACCAUUUAUGAAGCCACUUCUCCUUUGGAAAAAACCAUAGCAAAUUUUGAAUUGAACCUCGAUAUUAUCCUUCCAACAUGCUGAAAUCAAAUCUGUUUAUAUUCAUUCUAGAUCCCAUCAGUCUUAUCUAACCCAUCACAAAUACUCUAGCGACAUUGACACAUCAAUACAGUCUAGAUCCACGACUUGUGAAAUCCGUCCACCAAUAAGUUACAAUCCAAACUUACUCAAACCAUGAAAAUAGUUCAAAAGAAAGAGUUGUACCACAAACUUACUAGUACCACCACAAUACAAGGCUGAGAACCUGUCUCACAUCAUAGAAACAUAACACCUGAAUCUAACGGCAAGGUCAUACCAUCCACAUAACUUCGCUUCCAUGCGCGACCUAUCCAAGCACUAGUUCACAUGAGACACCCCAAAUCACCAUGCUCAAAACUACCAACCAGCGUAAUUUGAGGUCUAGUACCACAAGCGAUUCAUCAUACCUACGGAGAAGUACAUAAUCCAAUGCCAUACCAGUAAACCUCUCUAUUGGAAAAUCCGGCUACCCCAGAAAGGGAAAAUGCCUCAAAGAAGAGAGCCGCUUUGCAAGUUCCCCUAGUACCACCCCAACUAUAUGCUAUGAGCUCGUCAAUCACCGUGGAGCCAAGAUACAUGAAUAGAAUAAUCUUCUUAGUGUACUAGUUGUACAUUUCGGGUUGUCCCUUUUGUUUCUUCACUUUGUUUUUG
Molecule: long non-coding RNA, 976 nt
Filed under: Nicotiana benthamiana
Lineage: Eukaryota; Viridiplantae; Streptophyta; Magnoliopsida; Solanales; Solanaceae
Description: long non-coding RNA (NBEN_LNC019941)
Source: RNAcentral